GACUCGGUUGGGCGGUCCGCUUAACGGCGUGUACUGUCUGACUGGGCCUUACCUCUUGGUGAGCCAGUGUGCCCUUUAUUGGUGUGCAUUGGGGAACCAGGACUUUUACCUUGAGAAAAUUAGAGUGUUUAAAGCGGGCAUUUUUGCUUGAAUACAUUAGCAUGGAAUAAUAAAAUAGGA
Molecule: ribosomal RNA, 180 nt
Filed under: uncultured Glomeromycotina
Lineage: Eukaryota; Fungi; Glomeromycota
Description: partial small subunit ribosomal RNA
Source: RNAcentral